RNAcentral lists this ribosomal RNA (380 nucleotides) under Rhipicephalus muhsamae. Its description in RNAcentral is "partial 16S ribosomal RNA". The record is from RNAcentral. Lineage: Eukaryota; Metazoa; Arthropoda; Arachnida; Ixodida; Ixodidae.
AUUUUGACUAUACAAAGGUAUUGAAAUAAGAUUUUAAUUGAAUGCUAAGAGAAUGGAAUUUCAGGAAAAAGCUUUCUUUAAAUUAAAAAUUGAAUUUUUCUUAAUUUGUGCAGAGACAAUUAUUAAUAUUAAGGACAAGAAGACCCUAUGAAUUUUAAUGGGAGAUUACUAUUAAUAUAAAUUUUGGCUGGGGCGGCAAGAAAAUAUCAAAAACUUUUCAGAUAAUAAAAUGAUCCAUUAGUAAUGAUUACAUGUUAAAUACUCUAGGGAUAACAGCGUUAUAUUUUUUGAUAGAUCAUAUUGACAAAAAAGUUUGCGACCUCGAUGUUGGAUUAGGAUACUUUUUUAAUGCAGAUAUUAAAAAAAGAAGUUUGUUCAAC